GGGCACUGUGACCACUGUCCAGCUGUUGCAGGAAGUCGCCAGCCGGUUCAGCAAGUUGUGUUACCUCAUUGGGCAGCAUGGAGCCUCACUGAGCAGCUACCUGCAAGGCAUGAAGGAAGCCAGGAACCUGGUCAUCAUGAAGCACUCGAGUCUUUUCUUGGACAGUUACACAGAGCAAGUAUCAGUCUGAGGUCAUGUUCAGCCUCAGCAAGGGGAAUUUGCAAGGGGAACCACUCCUCAAUCACAAGAGUGGACGGGGACAGUGCCGCUAGGCAGUAGGACUGAAAAGCAGUGUUUAACCUUAGCCAGCGAUAGUUUUGCAGUGCUCAAGAUCAGUUUUCCUCCUGAAGGGGGAAAGGUUAACAAUGACAAUGAGUUCUCAUAUUCCUUUCUAUGUCCAGCAGUGAGGAAUAGCAUACUUUAUUAACACACAAUAUUCUGUCCUAAGCCUGCUUAUUUUGUUUACUUAAGUAAAUUAUACCAAAAUAUGAGGAAAUAAAGAACAAACUUAUUUACAGAGCAGCUAUGAGAUUGAAGCUGUUCUGAGCCUGCUUGUUACUGCUGUGUGAUGGGACACUCUAGCUACAUAUAACAUAACAGUGCUUUCUGAAUAGCACCAUGGAUGGUUGUCUACUCAAGGAUCUGUUCAUGUUUUGUAAGAAAAAUAUACCAAGUAUAUUUGUAAAC
RNAcentral lists this long non-coding RNA (687 nucleotides) under Rattus norvegicus (Norway rat). RNAcentral describes it as "long non-coding RNA NONRATT030068". Lineage: Eukaryota; Metazoa; Chordata; Mammalia; Rodentia; Muridae. The record is from RNAcentral.